CGGGGGAAUGCUAAAGACCAAGCUGUCUGCCUGCAAAUGGUGGCUGUGAAGCUAGACAGGAGGUGAUGGGCUGAGAGAGAGGGGACCGUGCUCAAGAGUGAGGACCCACUCAGCAAGGCUGUCAUAGUUGGUUGCUUUGGUGCUCCAAACCAUAUUUCCUAUCAAGAAAGAAGAAGGAGGCAGAAGGCCAACGCUAAGGCCAAGGAUGACACCACAUAUGCUGCCUCCAUGUCUGCUUUGUUCUGCCCUCUCUAC
Long non-coding RNA from Mugil cephalus (flathead mullet), 255 nucleotides. RefSeq lists it as uncharacterized. The record is from RefSeq and is a predicted model, not a curated record. Lineage: Eukaryota; Metazoa; Chordata; Actinopteri; Mugiliformes; Mugilidae. The transcript has 3 exons.